Molecule: unclassified non-coding RNA, 1834 nt
Filed under: Leishmania donovani
Lineage: Eukaryota; Euglenozoa; Kinetoplastea; Trypanosomatida; Trypanosomatidae
Description: gene:LdHU3.36.6460(CDS-product:hypothetical_prote in_conserved)
Source: RNAcentral
AAGUGCUUGUAUGUAACGAAUUGCUUCCGGCGUAUUUCUGCCCAGAGUCAUCCCUACUUUGUGCCGCGCCGCACGCCACCCCCUGGAGGAGACUCACGCCUCGGGACAGGAAACCAUGUCCAUGUCCGCAUGUAGAGUGACUCCUUUUUCGGCGGGCCUGCAGUUUACGAGGAAAGACGUCCACGAACCUCCUGCAGAUACUGCUGUCGAUAAUAAAAGCGGCGUAUCUGAUGGAGAGCCUCAAGCGGCCGGUAGAACACCAGUGAGGGAAGAGGCUCGCUGCUUUGAGUCGGAGGAAGAGCGACUCCUGUGGAAAGCCGCCAGGCUGCGCCACAGCAUCGAAACGGACUUGGUGCCACGACAGGAGUUGGCCGAGCGCGCCCUUCGACACGGUCGUCGGCAACUUGUGAAGCUACAGCGCCUCUUGCCGAGUGCGGCUUUCCUGACGUUCCGACAGAAGUGUGCCGCGUGGUGUGAUCGGCUGCGCCUCUUCGAAGAGCUUGUGGUGCGCACCAUGUUGAGGGAAGCUGUGGACGGCGCCGCACGAAGUGGCGAUGUGAAGGCACCUGCCCGAUGGCGGAAGUCGAAUCAAUGGCCGGCCAUCACCAAUUUUCUGGAGUUGCAGUUGCAUUUGUGUUUCGCAGUCAAGGGCAGCGCUGCGGUAGAAGCCUCUUCGCCAGAGCAGUCGACCCGCGAGAACUCUGCGGUUUACCGACAUCUGGCCGCGAUCUGGGCAGCGCAGCAAGAGCGUCUUCUGACAUGUGACCUUCUUCAUCGCUAUUACACAUUAAGGGACAUUUUGCAUGGCUGGGGAAAUGCCUGGCACGUGAGGGCGUCUUGUGCUGACGACGGCGACAACGUCAGCUCCACUGCACGCAGUCGUCUGCCACAUGAGCCGGACGGCUCAUGCAUCUGCCCGUUCACCGCGUGGGAGAGUCUCUCUGAAGUGGAUCGACUCACAAGCUACUCAAAAAUAUGCUCCCACCACCUCACCGAAGACGUGGUGGAGUGCUUGGAGGCGCUCAUGUUCACGCACUUUGCGGACGUGUGGUGCCAUGUCGAGUCCGUCAUGAGCGGUGUAAGCACGUAGUCGAACGUAUCUGCGGUGCGGCUGCAUGUCGAUGAUGAUCUCCGAGCAUUUCCGUUUCGAAGUCAACCCUCAUCGCUUCACAAAUGGCCGUGCAUCCGCCCCCUCACCCUCUCUUCUGUCUUGCCUCUGGUAACGAGAGCGUACCUUCCCUUCGCGAGAAUGCCGCUGUGCUGACUCUCAUCCAUCUCCGCCAACUACCGCUCAUCUCUCGUGUUCUCUGUCCUUUGGGUCGAGACAAUCAUGUACUCAAGCGCCUUUGUGCCUUCCUGUCUCACCCUCGCUUCCCGCCCCUCUUACGCGCCUCCUCUCCGUUUCGAGCAGUGCUGUCGGUGUGCACGCGCGUCUGAACGGAUGUGCGCGUGCGCUUGACCAUUGCGAAACCCUGGGGUAGCAGCCAAGGCGAUGGGCGCGUUGAAGUGCGGGUGCUGCACUGGACUGCUAGUGGACAACGAUGUUCAAAUCGAAAUCGGAAAAGAGAAGCGACGGACAGGACUUAUGGGAGGGGCACAUCUUUCUAGGGCGUACGAACAGGUAGACACGUGCUGACAGACCUAUGCGACCGCUUUGCUCUCGUCGAGAGUGCUCGUGAUCCAUCCGAGACGUGGCGCGCCUCCGAGCGAGGCCGCUCCGGCUACCUCGGGCAUCACUCCUUCGCCAUAUGACCCCACACGCUCUCGUGUUCCACCUCUCCUUUCCGUGCUAUCCUCUUGUUUUUCUAUACGUGUUCGUGUGUCGUACGUCUAG